AAAUUGAAGAGUUUGAUCAUGGCUCAGAUUGAACGCUGGCGGCAGGCCUAACACAUGCAAGUCGAACGGUAACAGGAAUCAGCUUGCUGAUUCGCUGACGAGUGGCGGACGGGUGAGUAAUGUCUGGGAAACUGCCUGAUGGAGGGGGAUAACUACUGGAAACGGUA
Molecule: ribosomal RNA, 167 nt
Filed under: Escherichia coli
Lineage: Bacteria; Pseudomonadati; Pseudomonadota; Gammaproteobacteria; Enterobacterales; Enterobacteriaceae
Also listed under: 2 other names
Description: partial 16S ribosomal RNA
Rfam family: Bacterial small subunit ribosomal RNA
Source: RNAcentral